RNAcentral lists this ribosomal RNA (976 nucleotides) under uncultured Mesoplasma sp. Its description in RNAcentral is "bacterial SSU rRNA". It matches the Rfam family "Bacterial small subunit ribosomal RNA", at positions 495 to 1482 of the family's 1533-position model. The record is from RNAcentral. Lineage: Bacteria; Bacillati; Mycoplasmatota; Mollicutes; Entomoplasmatales; Entomoplasmataceae.
GGCGAACUAUGUGCCAGCAGCCGCGGUAAUACAUAGGUGGCAAGCGUUAUCCGGAUUUAUUGGGCGUACAGGGUGCGUAGGCGGUUGUGUAAGUUUGAGGUUAAAGCCCGGAGCUCAACUCCGGUUCGCCUUGAAAACUACAUAACUAGAAUGCAAGAGAGGUAAAUGGAAUUCCAUGUGUAGCGGUAAAAUGCGUAGAUAUAUGGAAGAACACCUGUGGCGAAAGCGGUUUACCAGCUUGUUAUUGACGCUGAGGCACGAAAGCGUGGGGAGCAAAUAGGAUUAGAUACCCUAGUAGUCCACGCCGUAAACGUUGAGUACUAGGUGUCGGGAAUUAUCUUGGCGCCGCAGCUAACGCAUUAAGUACUCCGCCUGAGUAGUAUGCACGCAAGUGUGAAACUCAAAGGAAUUGACGGGGACCCGCACAAGUGGUGGAGCAUGUGGUUUAAUUCGAAGCAACACGAAGAACCUUACCAGGGCUUGACAUCCAGUGCAAAGGCAUAGAGAUAUGCUGGAGGCUAACAUUGAGACAGGUGGUGCAUGGUUGUCGUCAGUUCGUGCCGUGAGGUGUUUGGUUAAGUCCAGCAACGAACGCAACCCUUGUCAUUAGUUACUAACAUUAAGUUGAGGACUCUAAUGAGACUGCUAGUGUAAGCUAGAGGAAGGUGGGGAUGACGUCAAAUCAUCAUGCCCCUUAUGUCCUGGGCUACACACGUGCUACAAUGGCUGAUACAAAGAGUCGCAAUCUCGCAAGGAGGAGCUAAUCUCAUAAAAUCAGUCUCAGUUCGGAUUGANGGCUGCAACUCGCCNUCAUGAAGCCGGAAUCACUAGUAAUCGCGAAUCAGNNANGUCGCGGUGAAUACGUUCUCGGGUCUUGUACACACCGCCCGUCACACCACGAGAGUUGGUAACACCAGAAGUAGGUAGCNUAACCGCAAGGAGGGCGCNUACNAAGGUGGGAUUAGCGAUUGGGGUG